GCGGGUAUAUAUUAAAGGUAAAUUGUAUGCCUUCCAAGCAUGAGAUAUGAGUUCAAUUCUCAUUACCCGCU
Molecule: transfer RNA, 71 nt
Filed under: Cyanoptyche gloeocystis
Lineage: Eukaryota; Glaucocystophyceae
Description: tRNA-Gly
Rfam family: tRNA
About the family: Transfer RNA (tRNA) molecules are approximately 80 nucleotides in length. Their secondary structure includes four short double-helical elements and three loops (D, anti-codon, and T loops).
Source: RNAcentral